AGACAGAUCUCCCAUCCAGUGGUUCACCUCCCAAAUGCCCGUAACAGCCAGGGCUGGAACAGGCCAAGUCCAGGAGUCUGGAUAUCCAUUGCAUCUCCCACACGGGCACCAGGAACCCAAGUACUUGAGCCAUCACUUGCUGCUUCCCGGGGUUCGUGUUAGCAGGAAGUUGGAACCAAGGUGGAACCAGAACUCGAACCGUGGUACUGCGACAUGGGAUGUGGGUGACCCACGCAGCAGCCUACCCACUGUGCCGCAACGCCUGUCCCCUCAAGAAGCUUUUGAGAGUACUACUGGGGAGACUGAAGAUAGCAGUGAGAGAACAAAAGGCUAAUUAUGAAGACACUUCCCUGGCGGAGUGGACAGUGAGAGAGACAGAGAGAAAGGUCUUCCUUUUUCCGUUGGUUCACCGCCCCAAUGGCAGCUGCGGCUGGUGCGCUGUGGCCGGCGCACCGCACCGAUCCGAAGCCAGGAGCCAGGUGUUUCUCUUGGUCUCCCAUGCAGGUGCAGGGCCCAAGCACUUGGGCCAUCCUCCAUUGUACUCCCGGGCCACAGCAGAGAGCUGGACUGGAAGAGGAGCAACUGGGACAGAAUCCGGCACCGCGACUGGGACUAGAACCCGGGGUGCUGGCGCCACAGGCGGAGGAUUAGCCUAGUGACCCGUGGCGCCAGUCCCUACUGACUUCUCUUUAACUGCAUCUGCAUAAAGGAAAAUGUGGAGACAUCUUAGUCUCAACCAUUGUUCCUUCCAUUUCUCCAUAUCUGACUAGUCUCUAAAUCCAAUGUCUAUGAUGGCCUUAUUUCUGCUCUCGCAGAGCUUUGCCAUCUUGGGAAUCUUUGGUGACAUAAGUGUAGACUGUUGUACUCAUCAGAUUCUUCAGGGCCUGGUGUGUGUUUGUUAUGGGUCCAUGCAGGGCCUUUCCUUUGUAUGUGUGGAAGUAUGAGUUCAUUUAUUCUCUCAAUAGUGUAUCUUUUGCACAGACUGCCAGAUUACUCUCUUUUCUUUUCCUGUUACCAAUUUAAUGUACUUGAAAUUUAAUGUAUUUGAAAGCCAGAGACACAAAGACAGAUAGAGAGAUAUCUUUCGCCUGCUGGUUCACUCCUCAAAUACCCACAGAAGCCAGGCAAGGCCAAGUCAAAGGCAGCAGCCAGGAACUCCAUCCAGGUCUCCACCCACGUCCUUGGGUCUUCGUCUGCUGGGUGCACACAAGCAGGAGCCUGGAACUGGGAGUGGAGCUAGGACUGGAGCCCAGGCUCUCUGAUAUGGGAUGUGAGUGUCCACAGUGGCGUCCUAGCCGCUAUGCUGAGUGCCACUCAGAUUUUUUGUUACAGAAGAAUGUUCUCAUCAUGUCCUCCUGGCUGAAAUCCUCAUGACUUACCCUAUAAAUGAUGAACUGCUUUGUGGGCCUUUGAGGCUCCCUGCGAUCUACACCCCUCAAUUUGGGAAGUUAUUUAACUGCCCUGGUUCCAGUUUUACCAACUCUAAAGGCAUCAUUGACACACAAGCACACACACAAUGCCCAAGGGUGCUUCAAGAAGUUCGGGGAAGGGCAGCUUAGGUCGAUCGCUGGGGCUGCUGCAUGGAAGCGAUGGUCUGAGCUUCUCCCCACCUCAGAUCCAGCUCCCUGCUGAUGCACCUGGGAGGCAGCAGAUGAUGCCCAAGUGCUUGGCCCCCUGCCAUCCAUGUGGAGAGCCAGAUGGAGUUUCUGGCUAUGGGCAGACCUAGCUCAGGCUGUUGUGGCAUUUUGGGGAGUGAACCAGUUGAUGGAAGAUCUCUCUCUCUCUCUCUCUCUCUUUCUCUCUCUUUCCCUCUCUGUCACUUUGCCUUUCAAAUAAAAUAAAUCAGUCUUAAAAAAAGAAGGAAGCUCGACUCAGAAGCAGAGCCAGUUCUUGAAUCUCUGAUGUGGGAUGCAGGCAUCCUAAGCAACAUGUUCACUGAUAGGCCAAAUAUCUUGUCCCCCAAGGUAUGUAUGUAUGUAUCUGCCCCCCUAGGCUGGAAAAUAAGGAGAAU
Long non-coding RNA from Lepus europaeus (European hare), 2011 nucleotides. RefSeq lists it as uncharacterized. The transcript has 3 exons. Lineage: Eukaryota; Metazoa; Chordata; Mammalia; Lagomorpha; Leporidae. The record is from RefSeq and is a predicted model, not a curated record.